Molecule: long non-coding RNA, 313 nt
Organism: Bombyx mori (domestic silkworm)
Lineage: Eukaryota; Metazoa; Arthropoda; Insecta; Lepidoptera; Bombycidae
Exons: 2
Source: RefSeq, a predicted model, not a curated record
UUUUUAUGGAACGCGAACAGUGUCAUUAACCUCAAACUUUUAAAGGUUAUAAAGUACUAAAAUUAUUAUGAAAACAACUUACAAAUUGUGCAACUUAAAUUUCUUUAUCUGACUAUUAAAUAGUCAUCUCUAUAAGUAGUUUCGUUACGCGAUCGUAAUUAAUCUUCUUUUUAAGCGAUAACAAUUAAUAAACAAACUCUACCUUGGAAAAGGGACGAGAAAACAUGCAGUUUCACAGACAAAGGUCAUGGUUGUUGCUGGGAAUGAAAUCGCUGCAAAAAUACAGUAAAAACUAAUAAAGUAAUAUUUACUA